UAGGGAAUCUUCGGCAAUGGGGGCAACCCUGACCGAGCAACGCCGCGUGAGUGAAGAAGAUUUUCGGAUCGUAAAGCUCUGUUGUAAGAGAAGAACGUGUGUGAGAGUGGAAAGUUCACACAGUGACGGUAACUUACCAGAAAGGGACGGCUAACUACGUGUCAG
Molecule: ribosomal RNA, 165 nt
Filed under: uncultured bacterium
Lineage: Bacteria
Description: partial 16S rRNA
Rfam family: Bacterial small subunit ribosomal RNA
Source: RNAcentral